CGCAUUCCACGCUGUCUAGCAGUGUUUAAUACACGGUCAAAGGUCAGAUGUGUGUCCUCCUCGGCUAUGUUGUUGGCUGCUGAAGUGACUUUAUUUCACUGCUGAAGUGAGAUUAUGCAAUUUCAGCACAGUCGCCAAGUCAUCGUGGUUUACCUGAGGCAGACGAGCUCCACCGGUGAAGUGACGAGAAACGGCUGUCGUAUGAUGCCAGACCCUCUUCACAGAAGAGGCAGGGAAUCUUGUGAUUGGCCCUCAUCACCGCCACACUGAUGCAGGAAUCUGGCUUCCGUAUGAUCUCGCACCAUUCUGGAUAAUCUACUGGUUGUGGAUUGCUGUUGGGAUUGCAGUUAAUAUAUGAUCAGACAACAGAAAUCAGCAGAAUGAUGUGUCUCUGUGUCCCGCGACCCUGAGGGAGAAGUGGCUUAGAAAAUGUCUCUCAGUGUUUCUCCUGAAAUCAAGC
Long non-coding RNA from Pygocentrus nattereri (red-bellied piranha), 460 nucleotides. RefSeq lists it as uncharacterized. The transcript has 3 exons. Lineage: Eukaryota; Metazoa; Chordata; Actinopteri; Characiformes; Serrasalmidae. The record is from RefSeq and is a predicted model, not a curated record.